Molecule: ribosomal RNA, 1457 nt
Rfam family: Bacterial small subunit ribosomal RNA
GGGGGGGGCUUUACAUGCAGUCGAACGAUGAAGACCGUGCUUGCACGGUUGGAUUAGUGGCGAACGGGUGAGUAUCACGUGAGUAACCUUCCCUUGACUCUGGGAUAAGCCCGGGAAACUGGGUCUAAUACCGGAUACGACCAGUCCUCGCAUGGGGUGCUGGUGGAAAGAUUUAUCGGUCUUGGAUGGACUCGCGGCCUAUCAGCUUGUUGGUGAGGUAAUGGCUCACCAAGGCGAUGACGGGUAGCCGGCCUGAGAGGGUGACCGGCCACACUGGGACUGAGACACGGCCCAGACUCCUACGGGAGGCAGCAGUGGGGAAUAUUGCACAAUGGGCGAAAGCCUGAUGCAGCGACGCCGCGUGCGGGAUGACGGCCUUCGGGUUGUAAACCGCUUUCAGCAGGGAAGAAGCGAAAGUGACGGUACCUGCAGAAGAAGCGCCGGCUAACUACGUGCCAGCAGCCGCGGUAAUACGUAGGGCGCGAGCGUUAUCCGGAAUUAUUGGGCGUAAAGAGCUCGUAGGCGGUUUGUCACGUCUGCUGUGAAAGCCCGAGGCUCAACCUCGGGUGUGCAGUGGGUACGGGCAGACUAGAGUGCAGUAGGGGAGACUGGAAUUCCUGGUGUAGCGGUGAAAUGCGCAGAUAUCAGGAGGAACACCGAUGGCGAAGGCAGGUCUCUGGGCUGUUACUGACGCUGAGGAGCGAAAGCAUGGGGAGCGAACAGGAUUAGAUACCCUGGUAGUCCAUGCCGUAAACGUUGGGCACUAGGUGUGGGGAACAUUCCACGUUUUCCGCGCCGUAGCUAACGCAUUAAGUGCCCCGCCUGGGGAGUACGGCCGCAAGGCUAAAACUCAAAGGAAUUGACGGGGGCCCGCACAAGCGGCGGAGCAUGCGGAUUAAUUCGAUGCAACGCGAAGAACCUUACCAAGGCUUGACAUGGACCGGAUCGCUGCAGAGAUGCAGUUUCCCUUCGGGGUCGGUUCACAGGUGGUGCAUGGUUGUCGUCAGCUCGUGUCGUGAGAUGUUGGGUUAAGUCCCGCAACGAGCGCAACCCCUAUCCUAUGUUGCCAGCACGUUAUGGUGGGGACUCAUGGGAGACUGCCGGGGUCAACUCGGAGGAAGGUGGGGACGACGUCAAAUCAUCAUGCCCCUUAUGUCUUGGGCUUCACGCAUGCUACAAUGGCCGGUACAAUGGGUUGCGAUACUGUGAGGUGGAGCUAAUCCCUAAAAGCCGGUCUCAGUUCGGAUCGAAGUCUGCAACUCGACUUCGUGAAGUUGGAGUCGCUAGUAAUCGCAGAUCAGCAACGCUGCGGUGAAUACGUUCCCGGGCCUUGUACACACCGCCCGUCAAGUCACGAAAGUGGGUAACACCCGAAGCCGGUGGCCUAACCCUUGUGGGGGGAGCCGUCGAAGGUGGGACUCGCGAUUGGGACUAAGACGUAGCUUCCGUGCCCGAAA